CCUACGGGGGGCAGCAGUAGGGAAUCUUUCACAAUGGGCGAAAGCCUGAUGGAGCAACGCCGCGUGCAGGAUGAAGGCCUUCGGGUUGUAAACUGCUUUUAUAAGCGAGAAAUAUGAUGGUAACUUAUGAAUAAGGAUCGGCUAACUACGUGCCAGCAGCCGCGGUCAUACGUAGGAUCCGAGCAUUAUCCGGAGUGACUGGGUGUAAAGAGUUGCGUAGGUGGCAUAAUAAGUAGCUAGUGAAAUCUGGUGGCUCAACCAUUCAGACUAUUAGCUAAACUGUUAAGCUCGAGACCGUUAGGGGUAACUGGAAUUUGUAGUGUAGGAGUGAAAUCCGUAGAUAUUAGAAGGAACACCAAUAGCGUAGGCAGGUUGCUGGGAUGGUUCUGACACUAAGGCACGAAAGCGUAGGGAGCAAACGGGAUUAGAUACCCCAGUAGUC
Molecule: ribosomal RNA, 442 nt
Filed under: uncultured bacterium
Lineage: Bacteria
Description: partial 16S ribosomal RNA
Rfam family: Bacterial small subunit ribosomal RNA
Source: RNAcentral